UACAAAACAAGGUGGCCACUAUUCCCAUUAUCCAUUCUUCACAGGAUGGUUCUUUUCUACAGCUAUUGCAUCUUGCUUCGCUGUUAGGGAUACUAAAAUGCAUCUACAGGUUUUUUAGACAUUCUUUAAGCUCCUUGCCCAUUCUUCAGCAACCCAUUUGUUCAAUUCCUUUGAGUACAUGGGUUCCAAAAAUUGGGGAGUAGAAGCCAUUUGCAAUGUUUAGGUCAAAUGCGUCUCUUAGUGCUACUUUAACUUUAUUAGUUCAAGUUGGAGUUAAUUCGAUUUAUAUUUAGUGGAUGAUAAUGGCUCAUUGCUGGAUAUGUAUUCACGAAGUGAUAUCCCUGCUUUGGCAAAAGAUAAAGCAUAUGCACAGAUUCGCCUUGGUGAAAUGCGUAUUCACCAGGUAAUUCCUCAAUCUUAUGUAUUUAUCUGACUCCAUCAGGCAUGCUAACUGUAUGGUAGAUAGCAAUCUCUUUAAAUG
Juglans microcarpa x Juglans regia is the source of this 481-nucleotide long non-coding RNA. RefSeq lists it as uncharacterized. Lineage: Eukaryota; Viridiplantae; Streptophyta; Magnoliopsida; Fagales; Juglandaceae. The transcript has 4 exons. The record is from RefSeq and is a predicted model, not a curated record.